RNAcentral lists this ribosomal RNA (169 nucleotides) under uncultured eukaryote. RNAcentral's name for it is "partial small subunit ribosomal RNA". It matches the Rfam family "Eukaryotic small subunit ribosomal RNA", at positions 1662 to 1828 of the family's 1831-position model. The record is from RNAcentral.
GUACACACCGCCCGUCGCUACUACCGAUUGAAUGGCUAAGUGAGGCUUUCGGACUGGCCCAGGGAGAGUGGCAACGCUCCCCCAGGGCCGGAAAGUUGUCCAAACUUGAUCAUUUAGAGGAAGUAAAAGUCGUAACAAGGUUUCCGUAGGUGAACCUGCAGAAGGAUCA